UACGGAGGGUGCAAACGUUGCUCGGAAUCAUUGGGCGUAAAGCGUACGUAGGCGGCCCAGCAAGUCGGGUGUGAAAGCCCUCGGCUUAACCGAGGAAGUGCAUUCGAAACUAUUGGGCUUGAGUACUGAAGAGGAUCGCGGAAUUCCCGGUGUAGAGGUGAAAUUCGUAGAUAUCGGGAGGAACACCAGUGGCGAAGGCGGCGAUCUGGGCAGAUACUGACGCUGAUGUACGAAAGCGUGGGGAGCAAACAGG
RNAcentral lists this ribosomal RNA (253 nucleotides) under uncultured bacterium. RNAcentral describes it as "partial 16S ribosomal RNA". It matches the Rfam family "Bacterial small subunit ribosomal RNA", at positions 524 to 776 of the family's 1533-position model. The record is from RNAcentral.